Molecule: ribosomal RNA, 497 nt
Filed under: uncultured bacterium
Lineage: Bacteria
Description: partial 16S ribosomal RNA
Rfam family: Bacterial small subunit ribosomal RNA
Source: RNAcentral
GAUGAACGCUGGCGGCGUGCCUAAUACAUGCAAGUCGAGCGAACAGACGAGGAGCUUGCUCCUCUGACGUUAGCGGCGGACGGGCGAGUAACACGUGGAUAACCUACCUAUAAGACUGGGAUAACUUCGGGAAACCGGAGCCAAUACCGGAUAAUAUAUUGAACCGCAUGGUUCAAUAGUGAAAGACGGUUUUGCUGUCACUUAUAGAUGGAUCCGCGCCGCAUUAGCUAGUUGGUAAGGUAACGGCUUACCAAGGCAACGAUGCGUAGCCGACCUGAGAGGGUGAUCAGCCACACUGGAACUGAGACACGGUCCAGACUCCUACGGGAGGCAGCAGUAGGGAAUCUUCCGCAAUGGGCGAAAGCCUGACGGAGCAACGCCGCGUGAGUGAUGAAGGUCUUCGGAUCGUAAAACUCUGUUAUUAGGGAAGAACAAAUGUGUAAGUAACUAUGCACGUCUUGACGGUACCUAAUCAGAAAGCCACGGCUAACUACGUG